Long non-coding RNA from Naja naja (Indian cobra), 1634 nucleotides. NCBI's taxonomy places the organism in Eukaryota, Metazoa, Chordata, Lepidosauria, Squamata, Elapidae. The record is from Ensembl.
AUAUUCAAAGAACUAUUUCUUUAUCAUUAUUUAAUUAUAUUUACAGAACAUACACCAAAAGAAAACAGCUGUUGUAGCCUGUCAGCCGCCGGCCCCUCCAGCAGCCGAAUCAGAGGAGGAGGAGGAGGAGGAAGUGUGGGAGUCAGGGUCGGCAUCAGGGCAACCCGGGAACUGGGGAAGAGGGAAUGGAGCUGGCAGAGAAGAGAGAGAGAGAUAGAGGUGGAGCCUGGGCCAUCCGUCAGCCUUCAGAUGGAGAGUCAACAGCCCCCAGGUCUGAAGGUGGUUGAUGAAGAAGAGGAGGAACAUCUGGGUCCAGUGCCUGACAUUGUUGUGGUUAGCCGACAGCAGAUUUCUCUGCCGAGGGAGCAUGCUCAGUGCUCAUUGUCUUCAGGUGAUCAGGAGACAAGUUACGAUUCACAGAGACAUAGCCCUGCAAAGUCGGGAAUUCCUCUCAGCAGCUUUUAAUGUAACCUUCUUUAUCUCUGAAGCAUACAACACACUUAGCACUCAGUAGCUGAAUCCAUUACUAAAAGAAGCACUGACAAUAAUAUAGUAGCAGCAAAUAAAAAGCAGCCAAACAACCUGGGGGAUUAAGAGUUCUUUAAUUGACUGGUGUAAUGGUGCUUCCUAUAACAAUAUUUGAUUGUUAUAGCUUAGUAGCAAAGAGAGCAAUACAGUAUGGCUAGCAGAGUAUGUGGGUGGUCCCCACCCAGAAAGAUGUCUCCAGUUAACAGCUAGAGCAUGCUUACCCAACUCACCUGCAGUGCAGAAAGGUGGCCAAUGAUGACUGAUAUGCAUAAAGUUCAGUUUUUGAUAUGUGCUGCUCAAAAGCUGGCAAGCCAGAAAAAACAUAACAGGAAAUCUCUCUAGAAGUCAGGUCUAUCAUGCCUCAUUCACUUUCCAAUGUCUGUUUAAAAAACAAGAAAUACAAUCUUUGCAGAAUUAUCUGCCUCCUGCAAAUGUUGAACUUAGAAAGAUGAGAUUACAUCUGUAUAUUGCAUAUACAUUUCAAAGAAUGAAGUAUUAAAUAAUUAUCACAAGUACUGGAUGACGGGUGAAGUAACAACAUUUGAGGAGGGCAAAUGUUAUUCCUAUUUCCAGAAGACAAUUAGAGAUAUCAGUCAAUCUUGAUAACUGAGACGAUUGAUACCUUAUAUCAAAGGUGUCAAACUCAAGUCCCAGGGGCCAGAUUUGGCCAGCCAGGUGCUUAGAUUUGGCCCGUGGAGCUACCCUGAAAACAGUGAGGGACUGGCCUGUGGUGCCUCUGCCAGCAAAAAUGGAGCCCUCCCAGGCCCAUUUUUGCUGGCAGAAGGUUUCAGGAGGUCAUUACAGCCAAAAAUGAAGCUCUGGAGUACAUUUGAGUGCUCGGGCUGCCACAGGUGCCCCCAACACGAGUGAUGUCAAGCUGGCCACACACCCCCCGAGGUCAAACACAACCCUGAUGCGGCCCUCAGUGAAACCGAGUUUGAUACCCCUGCCUUAUAUCAUAAAAUGGAUUGAUCUGUAAGCACUCAGAAACAAUUCAAUGAUAGAUUUGUCAAGAACAAGACUGUCAAACUAAUUUUAUUUCAUUUUUAAGUAAGUUCUUUAAUAGUGGGAAUUCUGUGGAUAUAAUAUAUCUUGACUAACAAAAC